AUUGAACGCUGGCGGCAGGCCUAACACAUGCAAGUCGAGCGGAUGAAGGGAGCUUGCUCCUGGAUUCAGCGGCGGACGGGUGAGUAAUGCCUAGGAAUCUGCCUGGUAGUGGGGGAUAACGUCCGGAAACGGGCGCUAAUACCGCAUACGUCCUGAGGGAGAAAGUGGGGGAUCUUCGGACCUCACGCUAUCAGAUGAGCCUAGGUCGGAUUAGCUAGUUGGUGGGGUAAAGGCCUACCAAGGCGACGAUCCGUAACUGGUCUGAGAGGAUGAUCAGUCACACUGGAACUGAGACACGGUCCAGACUCCUACGGGAGGCAGCAGUGGGGAAUAUUGGACAAUGGGCGAAAGCCUGAUCCAGCCAUGCCGCGUGUGUGAAGAAGGUCUUCGGAUUGUAAAGCACUUUAAGUUGGGAGGAAGGGCAGUAAGUCAAUACCUUGCUGUUUUGACGUUACCAACAGAAUAAGCACCGGCUAAUUUCGUG
Molecule: ribosomal RNA, 484 nt
Filed under: uncultured bacterium
Lineage: Bacteria
Description: partial 16S ribosomal RNA
Rfam family: Bacterial small subunit ribosomal RNA
Source: RNAcentral